This 468-nucleotide ribosomal RNA is filed under the name uncultured bacterium. Its description in RNAcentral is "partial 16S ribosomal RNA". It matches the Rfam family "Bacterial small subunit ribosomal RNA", at positions 28 to 507 of the family's 1533-position model. The record is from RNAcentral.
GACGAACGCUGGCGGCGUGCUUAACACAUGCAAGUCGAACGGAAAGGCCCUGCUUUUGUGGGGUGCUCGAGUGGCGAACGGGUGAGUAACACGUGAGUAACCUGCCCUUGACUUUGGGAUAACUUCAGGAAACUGGGGCUAAUACCGGAUAGGAGCUCCUGCUGCAUGGUGGGGGUUGGAAAGUUUCGGCGGUUGGGGAUGGACUCGCGGCUUAUCAGCUUGUUGGUGGGGUAGUGGCUUACCAAGGCUUUGACGGGUAGCCGGCCUGAGAGGGUGACCGGCCACAUUGGGAAUGAGAGAAGGACCAGACUCCUACGGGAGGCAGCAGUCGGGAAGAUGGCACAAUGGGCGGAAGCCGGAGGCAGCAACGCCGCGUGCGGGAUGACGGGCUUCGGGUUGUAAACAGCUUUCGCAUGUGACGAAGCGGGAGUGACGGUAAUGGGUAAAGAAGCACCGGCUAACUACGUG